UCAGGGGAAGCUAAUUUUGACAAACUUAUGAACAAUUAAACAAACCAUAACCCGUCCUUGUAACGUUUAACCAGAUUAGCAAGACUUCGUUAUUUUGAGGGGAAAUGCGUAAAAAGGGAUGUUUUCCAUGGGGUCCUUGAACGCAGCACAACCAACAGCAGGUGAUUCGCGUUUCUUGGUGAUGUCACGGCGAGUAUAAAACCGUUCCAGCGCGUCUUCUGCGUCUACUGAGCACCAGAAGCGCAUUUUGGCUCCGGAGUUUGCACCAGACAUCAUCACCAUGAACAAGCUGUGCGUCGCUGUGGUCGUAACUCUCCUGCUGACCUUCUACCUCUCAGCUCAGGUGGUCCGGGCGGCUAACGGCACCAGCUCCAACUCCAGCAACGCCAGCCCCGAGCACGGCUCCCCCUCCACCCUGCUCCUGCUCCCCCUCACCGUGGGGACUGCUCUCCUCCUCAGCCGGUUUGGGUGAUGGCCCGGUCCGAGCUGCGCAGCUGGGAGUGUGGAUGGAUAACCCUAACCUGCGUGGCUCAUCUUUGUUCGUUUUCUGCUGGGUGAGGGUAGUUCGGGCCGAAGCGCGCGCGCGCAGGACCCCCCGGUCUUCACUGGUUCAUGGACUAAACUUCUGCUUGAGGGAGAUGUAGUUGGGUUAAUGUGAGAAUGUGUGAAGUCACCUCUUUGCCUUGAAUGAAAAGGUUGUAAUAAGAUGUUUUAGAUUUUAUAAAUUGAAUAAAUCUACUGAUCAGAA
Nothobranchius furzeri (turquoise killifish) is the source of this 748-nucleotide non-coding RNA. Lineage: Eukaryota; Metazoa; Chordata; Actinopteri; Cyprinodontiformes; Nothobranchiidae. The record is from RefSeq and is a predicted model, not a curated record.